RNAcentral lists this ribosomal RNA (2925 nucleotides) under Shigella sonnei. Its description in RNAcentral is "bacterial LSU rRNA". It matches the Rfam family "Bacterial large subunit ribosomal RNA". Lineage: Bacteria; Pseudomonadati; Pseudomonadota; Gammaproteobacteria; Enterobacterales; Enterobacteriaceae. The record is from RNAcentral.
GGGUUGUGAGGUUAAGCGACUAAGCGUACACGGUGGAUGCCCUGGCAGUCAGAGGCGAUGAAGGACGUGCUAAUCUGCGAUAAGCGUCGGUAAGGUGAUAUGAACCGUUAUAACCGGCGAUUUCCGAAUGGGGAAACCCAGUGUGUUUCGACACACUAUCAUUAACUGAAUCCAUAGGUUAAUGAGGCGAACCGGGGGAACUGAAACAUCUAAGUACCCCGAGGAAAAGAAAUCAACCGAGAUUCCCCCAGUAGCGGCGAGCGAACGGGGAGCAGCCCAGAGCCUGAAUCAGUGUGUGUGUUAGUGGAAGCGUCUGGAAAGGCGCGCGAUACAGGGUGACAGCCCCGUACACAAAAAUGCACAUAUUGUGAGCUCGAUGAGUAGGGCGGGACACGUGGUAUCCUGUCUGAAUAUGGGGGGACCAUCCUCCAAGGCUAAAUACUCCUGACUGACCGAUAGUGAACCAGUACCGUGAGGGAAAGGCGAAAAGAACCCCGGCGAGGGGAGUGAAAAAGAACCUGAAACCGUGUACGUACAAGCAGUGGGAGCACGCUUAGGCGUGUGACUGCGUACCUUUUGUAUAAUGGGUCAGCGACUUAUAUUCUGUAGCAAGGUUAACCGAAUAGGGGAGCCGAAGGGAAACCGAGUCUUAACUGGGCGUUAAGUUGCAGGGUAUAGACCCGAAACCCGGUGAUCUAGCCAUGGGCAGGUUGAAGGUUGGGUAACACUAACUGGAGGACCGAACCGACUAAUGUUGAAAAAUUAGCGGAUGACUUGUGGCUGGGGGUGAAAGGCCAAUCAAACCGGGAGAUAGCUGGUUCUCCCCGAAAGCUAUUUAGGUAGCGCCUCGUGAAUUCAUCUCCGGGGGUAGAGCACUGUUUCGGCAAGGGGGUCAUCCCGACUUACCAACCCGAUGCAAACUGCGAAUACCGGAGAAUGUUAUCACGGGAGACACACGGCGGGUGCUAACGUCCGUCGUGAAGAGGGAAACAACCCAGACCGCCAGCUAAGGUCCCAAAGUCAUGGUUAAGUGGGAAACGAUGUGGGAAGGCCCAGACAGCCAGGAUGUUGGCUUAGAAGCAGCCAUCAUUUAAAGAAAGCGUAAUAGCUCACUGGUCGAGUCGGCCUGCGCGGAAGAUGUAACGGGGCUAAACCAUGCACCGAAGCUGCGGCAGCGACGCUUAUGCGUUGUUGGGUAGGGGAGCGUUCUGUAAGCCUGCGAAGGUGUGCUGUGAGGCAUGCUGGAGGUAUCAGAAGUGCGAAUGCUGACAUAAGUAACGAUAAAGCGGGUGAAAAGCCCGCUCGCCGGAAGACCAAGGGUUCCUGUCCAACGUUAAUCGGGGCAGGGUGAGUCGACCCCUAAGGCGAGGCCGAAAGGCGUAGUCGAUGGGAAACAGGUUAAUAUUCCUGUACUUGGUGUUACUGCGAAGGGGGGACGGAGAAGGCUAUGUUGGCCGGGCGACGGUUGUCCCGGUUUAAGCGUGUAGGCUGGUUUUCCAGGCAAAUCCGGAAAAUCAAGGCUGAGGCGUGAUGACGAGGCACUACGGUGCUGAAGCAACAAAUGCCCUGCUUCCAGGAAAAGCCUCUAAGCAUCAGGUAACAUCAAAUCGUACCCCAAACCGACACAGGUGGUCAGGUAGAGAAUACCAAGGCGCUUGAGAGAACUCGGGUGAAGGAACUAGGCAAAAUGGUGCCGUAACUUCGGGAGAAGGCACGCUGAUAUGUAGGUGAAGUCCCUUGCGGAUGGAGCUGAAAUCAGUCGAAGAUACCAGCUGGCUGCAACUGUUUAUUAAAAACACAGCACUGUGCAAACACGAAAGUGGACGUAUACGGUGUGACGCCUGCCCGGUGCCGGAAGGUUAAUUGAUGGGGUCAGCGCAAGCGAAGCUCUUGAUCGAAGCCCCGGUAAACGGCGGCCGUAACUAUAACGGUCCUAAGGUAGCGAAAUUCCUUGUCGGGUAAGUUCCGACCUGCACGAAUGGCGUAAUGAUGGCCAGGCUGUCUCCACCCGAGACUCAGUGAAAUUGAACUCGCUGUGAAGAUGCAGUGUACCCGCGGCAAGACGGAAAGACCCCGUGAACCUUUACUAUAGCUUGACACUGAACAUUGAGCCUUGAUGUGUAGGAUAGGUGGGAGGCUUUGAAGUGUGGACGCCAGUCUGCAUGGAGCCGGCCUUGAAAUACCACCCUUUAAUGUUUGAUGUUCUAACGUGGACCCGUGAUCCGGGUUGCGGACAGUGUCUGGUGGGUAGUUUGACUGGGGCGGUCUCCUCCUAAAGAGUAACGGAGGAGCACGAAGGUUGGCUAAUCCUGGUCGGACAUCAGGAGGUUAGUGCAAUGGCAUAAGCCAGCUUGACUGCGAGCGUGACGGCGCGAGCAGGUGCGAAAGCAGGUCAUAGUGAUCCGGUGGUUCUGAAUGGAAGGGCCAUCGCUCAACGGAUAAAAGGUACUCCGGGGAUAACAGGCUGAUACCGCCCAAGAGUUCAUAUCGACGGCGGUGUUUGGCACCUCGAUGUCGGCUCAUCACAUCCUGGGGCUGAAGUAGGUCCCAAGGGUAUGGCUGUUCGCCAUUUAAAGUGGUACGCGAGCUGGGUUUAGAACGUCGUGAGACAGUUCGGUCCCUAUCUGCCGUGGGCGCUGGAGAACUGAGGGGGGCUGCUCCUAGUACGAGAGGACCGGAGUGGACGCAUCACUGGUGUUCGGGUUGUCAUGCCAAUGGCACUGCCCGGUAGCUAAAUGCGGAAGAGAUAAGUGCUGAAAGCAUCUAAGCACGAAACUUGCCCCGAGAUGAGUUCUCCCUGACCCUUUAAGGGUCCUGAAGGAACGUUGAAGACGACGACGUUGAUAGGCCGGGUGUGUAAGCGCAGCGAUGCGUUGAGCUAACCGGUACUAAUGAACCGUGAGGCUUAACCUUACAACGCCGAAG